Molecule: ribosomal RNA, 270 nt
Filed under: uncultured bacterium
Lineage: Bacteria
Description: partial 16S ribosomal RNA
Rfam family: Bacterial small subunit ribosomal RNA
Source: RNAcentral
UUUGAUGGCGACCGGCGCACGGGUGAGUAACACGUAUCCAACCUGCCGAUGACUCGGGGAUAGCCUUUCGAAAGAAAGAUUAAUACCCGAUGGCAUAGUUCUUCCGCAUGGUAGAACUAUUAAAGAAUUUCGGUCAUCGAUGGGGAUGCGUUCCAUUAGGUUGUUGGCGGGGUAACGGCCCACCAAGCCUUCGAUGGAUAGGGGUUCUGAGAGGAAGGUCCCCCACAUUGGAACUGAGACACGAUCCAAACUCCUACGGGAGGCAGCAUG